RNAcentral lists this ribosomal RNA (731 nucleotides) under Dietzia kunjamensis. Its description in RNAcentral is "bacterial SSU rRNA". It matches the Rfam family "Bacterial small subunit ribosomal RNA", at positions 56 to 804 of the family's 1533-position model. Lineage: Bacteria; Bacillati; Actinomycetota; Actinomycetes; Mycobacteriales; Dietziaceae. The record is from RNAcentral.
UGCAGUCGAACGGUAAGGCCCCUUCGGGGGUACACGAGUGGCGAACGGGUGAGUAACACGUGGGUAAUCUGCCCUGCACUUCGGGAUAAGCCUGGGAAACUGGGUCUAAUACCGGAUAUGAACUCCUUCCGCAUGGUGGGGGUUGGAAAGUUUUUCGGUGCAGGAUGAGCCCGCGGCCUAUCAGCUUGUUGGUGGGGUAAUGGCCUACCAAGGCGACGACGGGUAGCCGGCCUGAGAGGGUGAUCGGCCACACUGGGACUGAGACACGGCCCAGACUCCUACGGGAGGCAGCAGUGGGGAAUAUUGCACAAUGGGCGGAAGCCUGAUGCAGCGACGCCGCGUGGGGGAUGACGGUCUUCGGAUUGUAAACCCCUUUCAGUAGGGACGAAGCGCAAGUGACGGUACCUGCAGAAGAAGCACCGGCUAACUACGUGCCAGCAGCCGCGGUAAUACGUAGGGUGCGAGCGUUGUCCGGAAUUACUGGGCGUAAAGAGCUCGUAGGCGGUUUGUCACGUCGUCUGUGAAAUCCCUCGGCUUAACCGGGGGCGUGCAGGCGAUACGGGCAGACUUGAGUACUACAGGGGAGACUGGAAUUCCUGGUGUAGCGGUGAAAUGCGCAGAUAUCAGGAGGAACACCGGUGGCGAAGGCGGGUCUCUGGGUAGUAACUGACGCUGAGGAGCGAAAGCAUGGGUAGCGAACAGGAUUAGAUACCCUGGUAGUCCAUGCCGUA